RNAcentral lists this long non-coding RNA (13084 nucleotides) under Malus domestica (apple). RNAcentral describes it as "long non-coding RNA (MDOM_LNC003436)". Lineage: Eukaryota; Viridiplantae; Streptophyta; Magnoliopsida; Rosales; Rosaceae. The record is from RNAcentral.
UUGGAAGAGACCCUUGUGCUGCUUGACGACGGUGUAGUAGCUGCUGUCAAAGUUUCGAGCGCUACUGGGAUCCAUUUCCACGAAUGUUGUAGUGUCGUUGAGGCUUCGGCAUUUGGUCUUCAGGAAUUCAGCGUAGGUUGCAUCCAAAGAAGGGUCUUGAUCACCCUUUCCGGUGAAGUUGUAGAGCCUGUUGCUGAAGCUUGGGCAGCCGCCUACUCCAAUUGUGUGUCCACCUACGUAAUUGUAUGUAAGAUUGGUCAGUUAUGUAUCCCUUUAAUAAGGAAUUUGCAGUCGUGAUCUAUGCAGGACGCCGUGUUUUUAACCUCGCUUCUAUUUUUCUUCAACUUUGAUCUCAUUUAUUAACAUGGUUUGUUGUUUUUGGGUGUAAAAUCACCUUAUCGAGCUUGGUAUUUAGGUUUCUACUUUCUAGUCUCGGAUUGGUUACUUGGAUGAUAGGUUUAAAGCCCAAAAUCUGAUCAAAACUAAACGCCUAAAAUCGAAACUCUAAACGAACAAUAUAUGUAAAUGGAAUCAAAGUGGAAGAAUAUUUAGUAGAAAUAAUACUUUCUCAACGUGUAAGACGUGAGCGUGAUGUCAUGCACGGAGAAUACCUCAUUAAUUUGCUAGUAAAUGUACCUGAUAAAACCACAAGGUCAUGCACGGUAAGAUUCUUGCGGGCAAAACUCUGUUUGAGUUGGGUGAAAUUGAAGAAAGGUGCCGGAAUGUUAAUCAAGGCCUCCCUAACUAGAGAAAUUGUGCCGUCUCUUCUCCCCGUGAGCACUUCCCACAUCGAUUUAUUGUACUGCAAAAGUUACAUACCAUGCAUACAUGAGCGCAAUCUUAAUACAACAACAAAGUCUUAUCCCACUAAGUGAGGCCGGCUGGAGCGCAAUCUUAUUAUUGAAAAUAUUUUAUGACGUAAAACAUAUUAGUCCCAUAUCUAAUUAGUAAAUUACUUGGAACGAAACGGAGUCCCUAGCAGCCAAAGCUAAGAUGUCAGCACAAGAGACUACUCCUGGACACUUCUCCUCUAGUUUUUCUUUGAUAUCGUCGAUGACAUCGAAUCCCGACAAGGAUAAGUUUGGAACUGCUGCCUUCUCUGCCGUGUUGUUUGCUGUUGAAUUCAACAAAAUUGAGCCAUCACAACCCUGCAGGAGAUUCCAUGUGUAUUUGGUCAAGCAAGUUAGACGACUCGCAGCAUAAAAUUGUUACUCAUUUCAAAUUAUAAGUUCCAGUUCAUAAACAUUUUUGGUGGUGGCUGCAAGUAUCUAAGCAAGCACACAUGCAUGCAUAUAUGUGAGGUCAUGAACAUGUACAGUACAUUUAUUUUCUUAAAAACGAUAUUACUGCUCUAAGUACGUUUCUAAGGAUAGCUCAUCACAUGCAAGCAUGCAUAUAUGAAUAGCUUACCCUGACGAAACAGUCGUGGAAAUUCAUUCUCAAUAGCUUUGCAGGCAAUCUGGGAUUACUGGAGACAUGGUUCCAGGUGACAUCUCUGACGAUAUCCUCAGCCGAAGGACAGGUCUUUUCAUAGAAACGCUUCCUCAGCUGGCCUCCUUCGCAGGCCACGAGAAUGCCGGAAACUACACAGAUGAGUAAGAGAAUAUUAACCUUCAUCUCGUAAACUUCUAAGGUUUCCAAUCGAUAAUGCUUUGUACAAAACCAUACUGUUCCUUUUAUAGGCGACUUUGUGUCUAACUCCAAGUGACAUACAUUUAACUAAAUAUUUGAUGUCAUUUAAAAGAAACAACUACACUUAUUCUAAAAAAUAUGCGGUUGACUCAAUACUUAGCAUAUUUUUAUUCGUUCUGAAUCUGCAUUAUUAGUUAUGUGUUUAAUCAAGUGAAUUAGCUGCAUUUUGGCUGAGUAACGAAAUGCUAAUACGUUAUUGAUCACAAUAGUUUGAAGUAUCUAUUUGAUCAGUCGCGUGCUCGAGAUGCUAGUUUGAUCUGGCCGGUAACCAUGUGCAAGAAGCCAACAGGAAGAAUAGUACUCAAAUGUGGUAUCCCUUGUAUUUUUGGUGGCGAAAGCUAUUGUUUUUAUUUUUGAAUUAUCUGCAUAAUAUUUCAUAAGACGAACAUGCACGAUGUAGCCGAAACAUGAUUAAUUUAAAGGAUUAGAAGGUUAACUCUGUUAGCAAUGGAAAAAGGAUAGUUGACUUAUACAUUGUGGACAAUAAACAUGAAUUAUGAAUAGUUGUAAAGGUUGACAAUUGUCCAAAACAUGAUUAAGAAAUAUUAGUCCCGAUUAACAAAUAUUUAUCUCAUCCAUAAUUUGGAAUCAAAAUCUGGGAGAUAGCUAAUACCAUGAUUAGAAGAAGCAUAAUUUUUUUUUAAUUAGUCUACUGUUCAGACCCGAGGUUUAUAGAUUUCUUUGACCUGUGCGCUCAUACUACUAUUCUAUUAGCUACAGACGGUGGUGGUCAAUGGCAUUGCCUGUCAUGAACCAUGGUCCAUGGCACAACUUAGUCAAGAGAAUAAUCUACGUGGAACGGAGCUUAUACUUUUGUUUUCGUGAACUCUCCUUACGCGAAGAAGGCGAUAAAGAGAAAGAGGUAUACACUUUGAGAUAGUUAAACUUGGUCAUGACUUGAUUACGGUUGGAGCUCCCGUAUCAUGGCUGCCAUGCUAGUUUGUUAGAGGGGGCAUUGGAGAGUAGUAGUUAAAGUUCAAAUAGGAGCUAAUAAAAUCAUCUUUUGGUUAAGUUGCGAGUGUUCAAAGUGUAAACCAAGCUAUAACCACAAAGAAGAAUAUGCAGUAUUACACUUGAGAGAUAGAAGAGAGGUGAGUCGAGAGAGAAGAGAAGAUAGAGAGAGAAGUUAAAACUUUCAUAUAUUGUAUAUUUCUGAAUGAAUACAAUCUUAUCUCAUCUAAGACUAUAUAUUCUCUUUAUAAAACUUGCUGUCUAAGUCACACUAUAACUAAUUCUAACAACCUUGCUAAUCUCUUGACAAGUGGCUUAUUAUAUCACCAUUAAUACUAUCCUUAACAUCCCCCCUCAAGCUCAGGAGGUGAAACCAAGACUGAGAUUGCGACAAUGAGUUUGAAAGAGUGGAGUAGAUAAACCCUUGGUGAAGAUGUCAGCAUACUGCUCACUGGAAGAUACAAACUGAACCUGCAGGUGCUUCUUUUGCAACUCGUUCUCGAACAAAAUGAAUAUCAACUUCAAUGUGUUUGGUACGCUGAUGUAACACUGGAUUUGAUGAUAAAGCAAUAGCAGACAUAUUAUCACAAAAGAGAACCGGUGAACUAGGAAUAGCAAGAUGCAAAACUGUCAAUAAUUGUUUGAUCCAAUCCAAUCCAAUUCAGCAGCAGCAGCUGUAGCAAGAGCGCGAUACUCAGCCUCAGUGGAGGAUCGAGACACUGUUUGUUGCUUCUUGGAAGACCAAGAAAUGGGAUUUGACCCCAAAAAGACCACAAAUCCAGUUGUAGACCGUCUGUCAUUCGGAUCUCCAGCCCAAUCCGCAUCAGAAAAGGCACGUAUAGUAUCAGAAUUAACCUCCAAACCACCUCUAACAUAAUGAAUACCCAAGUUCAAAGUGCCUUUAAGGUAUCUUAGGAUCCGCUUGACAGCACUGAAGUGAGACUCCAUGGGACGCUGCAUAAAUUGACAUACCUGAUGCACAGCAAACGCGAUAUCUGGCCUGGUAAAUGUGAGGUACUGUAAAGCACCAACCACACUUCUGUAGAGAGCAGGAUUGUUGUAGGGUGUACCAUCAUCAAGAACUAACCGAUUAUAAGGCAGACAUGGUGUGGAACAAGGCUUGGAAUCUAACAUUGCAGUCUUGGUAAGGAGAUCCUUAACAUACUUAGCUUGAGAAAGAACCAAACCAUCAGGCUGAGAAAUAAUCUGAAUUCCCAGGAAAAAAUGCAAAGGACCCAAGUCUUUUAUGUCAAAUUCCUUUGUCAAAGCAGAAAUCACAUCAGAGAUCAAAGUGGGAGCAUUACCAGUAAUGAUAAUGUCAUCCACAUAGAGAAGUAAGACUACGACAGACGAAUCAAUUUGUUUCACAAACAAAGAGGAAUCAGCAUAAGUGGAAGUAAAUCCAAGUGAUGGCAAAAAAACUGGUGAACUUGUCAUUCCAGGCUCUAGGAGCCUGUUUUAAGCCAUAUAAGGACUUGUGAAGUUUGCAGACAUAAUCAGAGUAUUGAGGAUCAAUGAAACCUGGAGGUUGUGACAUAUACACCUCUUCCUGCAAUACCCCAUGGAGAAACGCAUUCUUAACAUCAAGUUGUCUCAAAUUCCACCCAAAAUGAGCAGCCAUGGCCAAUACAAGUCUCACAGUGGUAGGUUUAACAACUGGACUAAAUGUUUCCCCAUAAUCAAUGCCUUCCUCUUGAUUGAAACCCUUUGCCACAAGGCGAGCCUUAUAUCUCCCUAUAGAACCAUCAGCAUUCCUUUUUAUCUUAAACACCCAUUUGCACCCAACCAGGUUUUUCUGUGCUAGAAGAGGAACUAAACUCCAUGUAGACUGAGUGUGUAAGGCAGAUAACUCUUCUUGCAUUGCAUCAACCCAUAUCGGACACUUUAAGGCAGAUUUAUAGGUUGCAGGUUCGACUGUAGACAAAUCCACUGCCCCAUUGUCAUAAGUGGCAGUAAGGAAGGCCAUCUUUUUGGAAAUACCACUCUUGGACCUGGUUUGCAUUGGAUGCAAAUUCAACGGAGGAAUGGAGAGAACAACCUGAAGUCUCUCAGGUUGAAACUCAAAACUGUCAGGAUUCGGAAGUGGAACCACAGGAUUCUCAGGAUGGACCUCAGAUGCCACAGGGAUUGGUGGAGAUGAAUACUGUUCAUUUGCAGAUCCAUUAGAUACUGGAGAUAAGGAUGAUGAAGAAGUGGGGGAAUGGGAAUUCUGAGGAACCGGAGAGACUGGUGAAACUAACACAUUAUCAAGGUUAGGCAUGGAUGGUUGCGGGGAAGAUGGUUGAUGGUGAGGUAGGAUGGGUUGAGAGGUUACAUGGGAUGGAUGAAGACUAGGAGAAUGUGAUGAAACAAGACCAGGAUAAGGAAAUUCAGAUUCAUCAAAUAACACAUGCCUAGAAACAAAAACUUUCUUUUUGAUGACUUCAUAACACAAAUAACCCUUGUACUUUGAUGCAUAUCCCAGAAAAAUACACUUGGAUGUCCUAGGUUGUAACUUUGUGGUGUUAAAGGGUCUUAAAAGAGGGUAACAAGAACAACCAAAAACUCUAAGGUGACUGACAUCAGGAACCGAACCAUAAAGAAUUUCAAAUGGGGACUGCAGAUUAAGUGUUUGUGAGGGCAUUCGAUUAAUAAGAUACACUGAAGUCUGACAAGCAAAUGACCAAAAUGGUGCAGGUAGGUGAGAGGUUUGAAGAAGAGUAAUGGUAGUUUCAAUAAUAUGGCGAUGUUUCCUUUCAACCAAACCGUUUUGUUCCGGUGUAUAAGGACAAGACAACUGAUGACGGAUACCUUUAGAAGUAAGAAAGGUUUGGAAUUGUUUCCCUAUAUAUUCACCCCCGCCAUCACUUUGAAGUGUUUUGAUUGAAACUGAAAAUUGAUUAAGUAUAAACUGAUAGAAAGUCAUAAAUGUGGCACAAACAUCAGUUUUAUUGAUAAUCGGAAAAAUCCAACAGAAUCGGGUACACUGGUCUAUGAAGGUAACAUAGUACUUAAACCCUUCUAGAGACAGACACGGAGCAGGGCCCCAUACAUCGCUGUGAACAACAUCAAAAGGAUUAACAAUCGUAUGUGGAGCAGAAUGAAAGGGUAGCUUGCUAAUCUUGCCCUCUAUACAAUUGGAACACAACCUAGGUAUAGAAUCAGCAAUACUAGGAAGAUUGGAUUUCUUAAGCAUGAGGGAAGCAACUUUGUUUGAUGGAUGACCUAAUCGAUGAUGCCAUAAGCUAGAGGUUACUUGUUUGCCAAUGUACGCAGCCACUGGAGGAGCUUUUUGUAUAGGAGAUGAGGAUGGUGUGAAAGGAAUGGGAUACAAGCCAUUACUGCAGAGACCUUUGAACAGUAUUCUCCCUGUGGCUUUGUCCUGAAUCCAAAAACACCAAGCAUCAAAGAUCAGCCAACAAUUAUUGUCAAGACAGAUUCUAUGUACAGAGAGUAAAUUCUGAGAUAUUCUAGGUACAUAUAGGACCGAAUUUAACUUCAAAUCAUGAAAUGGAGUCUGCAAUAUAGAAGAUCCUCUGUGGGAUACAUUCAAACCUUCACCACUUGCAGUUUGAAUCAUCUCUGUUGAAGGAAAAGGAGUUGCCAAUGACAAAUUAUUCAGAUCUGCAGUCAUAUGAUUUGUUGCACCCGAAUCUGUAAGCCAUACUUGCUGAGAAAGAUUGGAUUCCAGGGGUGGAGCAGAAGCAUUGACAUGCAUAGCAUUCAUAGAUCCAGCAGUAGAUGGUAAAUUUGCAUUCCUAAAGUGACAGAACUUUGCACUAUGAUUCCUUUUUCCACAGAUUUGACACCCAUCACCAACUGCAGAAUCAAGAUUCCGAAAUCGACAAGUAUCAGCAAGAUGUCCAUAUUUGCCACAGAUUUGACAGGAAGUGCCAGAAGAAGACAACUGCUGUUGUGGAGAAGUUCCAAGAAUCCCACGACCUUGAGGCGGGUAAAAUGGCUUAUUAGUCCCAAAUUUAGAACCAUAUUGAAACUUUCCUUUGCCUUUGUUCUUGUUGUAAGAAGGACGAUAUGAAGAAGCAGCAGGUUGAUUAUUGUAAAGAUGCGAUUUGAUCAAAUGUUCCCUUAAAGUGUGGCUGAGACCCACCAGUAUCCGCAACCAUUGCAGUAAGAAAAGGAGUUGCAGACACAUUUUCAAGCAUUGCUUCUUCAGCAAGCAACUGAGAACGCAGAUCUUUAAUUGAAAUAACAUGAUCCCUGCCUCUAAUGAUUGAUCUAAUCGUGUUAUACUCAGAUGAUAAGCCAUUAAGGGUAAGUAUAACUAUAUCAUCAUCAUCAAAUGGAACCCCAGCUGCAGAAAGAUAAUCCCGAGCCUCCUUAAUGCGUUGUAAAUACAAGGAAAUAGAAUCAUUACCCUUUUUUGAUAUUCUGCAACGCUGACUUCAUUUGGAAGAUACUAGCUCGUGUAACAAUUGAAAAUUGUUCCUUAAGUCUUGUCCAGAGAUCCUGAGCACUAGUACUUCCUAUCACGCAAGAAACGGCAGACGGAGAAAGAGUUGCAGUAAUCAACUGCAUUAAGGCACGAUCAUGCAUCUUCCAAAAUCUUGUAAUCAUCAGAUUCUGUUUUGAGAAGUAGUUCCUUGAGAAUCAACCUCAGACCCACUAGAAGUAGACCUUGUAAAUCAAAAUAGGACAGGGGUAGAACCAUCCACAAAACCCAAAAUACCAUGCCCUUCGAGAAGAAGCUGCAUCUGAAAAUGCCAAACCAGAUAGUUUGAUUCAUCAAGCUUCACUGUCACAGAUGUUGAAACAGUGGAGAUGAGAGAAGUAAUGGGAGACUGAAGAAUCUGUAAUUGAGAAGGAGUAAUCAUUGACGCAAGAAUUCAGAAAACUUGGUCAAGAACGAUGAUUGAGAACUUGUAUCGAACACUUGGUGUGCACAGAAGACAAACGCCAAGAAGAGUAAUAUACAGAAGAAGAUGAGCUCCAGAAAGAUUUAGACAGAGCACACAAAUAUCAGAAACAUUACAGAAAUCAGAACUGAUGAGCGGAAGCAGUCCAAGAUCGAAGAUUUUCACCCGAGCGAUUAGCUAAUCCGGCGAAGAUACCAUGUAAACCAAGCUAUAACCACAAAGAAGAAUAUGCAGUAUUACACUUGAGAGAUAGAAGAGAGGUGAGUCGAGAGAGAAGAGAAGAUAGAGAGAGAAGUUAAAACUUUCAUAUAUUGUAUAUUUCUGAAUGAAUACAAUCUUAUCUCAUCUAAGACUAUAUAUUCUCUUUAUAAAACUUGCUGUCUAAGUCACACUAUAACUAAUUCUAACAACCUUGCUAAUCUCUUGACAAGUGGCUUAUUAUAUCACCAUUAAUACUAUCCUUAACACAAAGUUGGGGUUUCUCUUUUAAGAACGAAUAUUGUAUCAUCAUAGUUCAUGGAUUUAUGAUUGUGAGACAUUCGAUCAAUGUUGUUUUGUUGAUUGUUAUUUUGACAUGUGUGGUACUUUUUUCUUUUACCCAAAUUUUGUCCAUGUGGUUUUCCUUGAGUAAAGCUUUGACGAGACUACUCUUUUACAAGUUACUUGAUAUAAAAUGUAUCUUUUUUGGUAAUGAAAUUUCCAUUUACCCUAAGAAAAGUUGAGAGCUAAUGAAUUUUUUGAAGGGAAACGAUUUCCCACUAUAAUCCUCUCCUCUUACGCACCUCUCUUUAUUUCUAGGUCUUAAUUGAAUCAACGUUCUCAAAGUGUUUUCUUUUUCAAUUCAAAUUUCCAAAAAUUUAAACAUUUCCAAACUAAAAAGUAGAAAAACACCAAAAAAAAAAAACUUUUAUGCAGAAAAUAUAAUUGUCAAGAGAGAUUUUUCAGUAAGCCAGAAAUACAGUCUAGCACACAAAAUGUAAUAAUGCAAUUAAUUGGAAGCUGGAAAAAAAAAUUCAACCAAUUAUAUAUUGACACUUAAUAUAUUAAGUUUUAUUCUCAGUACAUUGAAAAAUUUCCCAGUUAUGGCAACCAUUUUAACUUGUACUCUCCACGCAUUACUAAAUAAACUAAAAUUACAACAAUGGAGCUUUCAAAUCAAAUGUUCAAGAAACCAAGAUCUUCAUUGGGUCCCAAGUGUUCUACACAAAUAAUUCCAAACAUUUUUCCGGAAAAGAAAAAGGUAAUAAUUAAUAUAAUAUAAUUGGGGAAAAGUAGGAGAAUUUUUUUUUAUUGUGAUAGGAACAUGAGUGGUACACAAUAUGUUUUUAUGUAAAUGGUGAGAAAUUUUAUUUUUUAAGUUAUUAACUUUUUAACACAUAUAUCCUACUAUUUAUAUAGUGACGCAUAAUGUACUACCUCGUGUAUCGGUCGCAUUGAAAAAUCUCUCGGAAAGUAGAAGUGAAAACAAAAAGAGUACCCAAUUAACUGAUCAGCCCAAUAAUUUUAAAACACCUGGCAUUUCAACUCUCUUUCAAUAUUUGGCUAUCUUAACCAAACACAUUUUGUCCCCGAAACCACACACCUCUUGUCGCCGAAACCAAGCACCUCUCUUCUUCUCCAUACUCUUUCCUUGCCCAGACCCAAUUCCUCUCUUUCUCCGGCGACCAUGGCAGAUCCACCAAAGGUUCUCUGUCUGCCCAACCACCCAUGUCUCUUAUCCCUUGUCAUCAAAAUCUGUUACAGGUUCACCAAUUUUUUUAGUCCCUCAAUAAUUUAUUAUUUUUAAGUUUAUUCUUUAACUUUAUUGAUUAAUUGAAUUGAACUACCAUAUUUAGAAAUGAGUAUCUCUUCAUAUUUCUUAUCUUUAUGUAAUUUUAAUAAUUUUUGGAAAUGCUAUGUUUGUUUUGCUUCAAAAAAAAAAAAUUUCGGAUAGGAGUUUAAAGAAUGUGAAGAAUUGAAUUAAAAUGAGGUAAAAUAGUACGGAAUGGUGAAAAUGAUGUGAGAAAUUGUGUAAAACUGACUUAGAUAUUUAUAAAAAAAAUAGAAUUUUUAGUUUUUUUUUUUAAUUUCUUAAAAAAAAUAAAAUUCAAAUCUAACGACUAGCUGAGUUAGCUAACAUGUGGGUUAUUGACAGCUAGGCUCAGCUUUUCGGGCUGACGGCUAAGGAUGCCUAGCCCGUUGGCCAUAUGGCUGGAUUUUGGCUUGGAGGGUUCCAAAUUUUUUCGGCCCAGCCCUCCAUUGGAGAUGAGUUUUGUGUAAAAAAAACAUAUUUUGGCCUAUAGCGCUUUGGCCGGCCCGGUUGAAAAUGACCUAAACAAAUGAUUAUCAAACUAUUCGAGAAUUUCAAGAAAAGCAUCUCCAAGAGUCUCUUCAAAUUUUUGUUACAUUACCUUAUUGAAUAAGUGUUAAAAAAAAAUAUUUCCGCUACCUAGUUAAACUUAACAUCUUUAAAAAUUCUCGUUAUUUUAACAAACUUUUAACAUUUUAUUGUUUAUCAAAUUCUAAAAAAAUAUAUAAAUUCAAAGAGAACGUGUGUAGAUAGCUAAAGAGUUUCAAGGUUCGUUCGCAAGUGUUUUUGAAAUGACUGAAAACGUUUUAGAGAAAAUGUUUUUGGGUUUCCAAAAGUACUUAAAAUGUUUUUUAGAAGAAAUACAUAAUUGAUGUUUUCUGGAAGAAGCACAUAACUAGUGCUUCUUGCAAAAAGCAUAUCAAAUCCGUAAUUAAAUUAAAUCUAUAAUUAAGUUAAAUCUCUAAAAUACUUUAUAAUUUCCAACACUAAUUUCCUUCCUUUAUCUAGAUGGAGAAAAUUUUCAUUGUGACGGGAAUAUAAGUGGUACACGACAUGUUUUAAUAGAAGUUGUGGGAAAUUUUAUUUUUUAAGUUAUUAACUUUUUAGCACAUAUAUCCCACAAUUUGUAUAAUGACAUGUGGUGUACCACCCCGUUUACCGGUUACACUGAAAAAUCUCUCAUCUUGAUGGAUUAUAAACCCGAGCCCUAGCUUAGUGCAUUUUUUAGCAGCGGAUGUAUAACUGAUCUUGCUCCAAUUGUAACAAGUAGAGUAUUACUUCUAUGACAAGAAAAUCUUCUACAUAAUAUCGAAAGAACAAAAAUUACGUUAUAAUUUUAUGCAUGCUUUUUUAGAGCAGGUUCGGACUUGGGCCACCUGUAAACCCGUUAAUAAUCUUCAAUCGUGGGUGCAUUUGAAUUGAAGUGAAAUCUUUUUUAACCGCACUUACCCGUCUAUUUAGUGACCAUAUGUGUGAGUGAAUAUAAAAACGCAAGAUUUUCUUUUUUAUAUAUAUAUUAUGAUACUAAAAAAAAAAAUCGAACUUGAAACUAUUAGAAUAGAGGAAAUUGAACUCCAGACGUCAGAAACUUUGAAGCAACGAUAAACCAAACUUAAGCAGGAAGAGUGAACUUUUCCCACACUUUCGUACGGCACGAGGGUAAUAACUAAUAAGACACUCUGUAUUUUUUCUUAUUCUCUUAUGGAAAAUUUUAUUUAAACACAUUUAUCCUUAUUAUUUUUUAUUUUGAAAUUCCAAAUGUGCCCAAUAAUUCUCUUUCUACACCCAACAAACACAAAUAUAUAUAUAUAUAUAUAUAUAUAUAUAUAUAUAUAUAUAAAUUAGCAAUAGUCAACUUCAACCAUCCUAUCUCUUCAAACCUCAACCACCCAGUUUCUAACAUCCUCAACUCCCCACUGCAAACUCCCUUACCACCCACAACAAUUUGAAAAUUAGAACAUUAUUCCCAACAACCCACAAUUAAAAAACCCAAAAGAAACAUGUAAAUAUAUAUAUAUAUAUAUAUAUUGGAAAAAUUAAUGGUAUUAUUAACAUAUGGUCCAACACAAUUAGAUUCGACACGUCGACAAUUUCGGCAUAAUUUAGACAUGUUAGAAGGACUGCAUGGAAGAGAGACCUAUUGUGUGGUUGGUGAAAGGUCGGGAAAUGGACAUUGAUGGCUGAGAUCUUUGGUAAUAGGAAAAUUAUAUUUCCAUUUCAUAUCAAAAUAAAAUUACACUUUGAGUAUAUAUACAAUUAUAUUGUAACCACUAAGAUAUCUAAACUAUAACUAACUAAUAGAUAUCUUAACCACUAAGUAAUAUCUCUAGAUAGUGUAGUUACAAUAUUACCCUUUAUAUUUGGGGUUUCAUUGUGGGUGAUAAGAAGAUGGCAGUGGGGGGAUCAAGCUUUGAACAACAAUAUCAAUCAGUUUAAUCUUUUGUGAUUCAAGCUUGAACAUGUAUUACUACUAAGGGUUGCGACUGUAAUAAUUGGUAUCAAUUUUAUUUAUUUGUUUUUCAAACGAAAUGCAGAAGGCGUAACACUUCAACGCUUCGGGGUGUUUUACAGGUUCAUUCUUUACUGAUAGGAAGAAAAUCUUUGAUGGUUGAGAUCAGCAAAGGUAUGUCUUCUUUUUCAUUAUGGGUGUAGAAAGAAAAUUGUUGGGCAGAUUCGGAAUUUCAAGAUUAAAAAACUAUAAGUUGGGUGUAGAAAGAUGAUAAAUGGGUCUGAAUAAAAUUUCCUUUCUCGCCCCAAAGUAGUUUGUGAUAGUGAUACCUGAAAAAUAUUUGCCAAUUGGGGCCUAAACAAGAGAUUAUUUUACUUUUCCCUCGUCUUCUUCCUCAUUCUUCUUCUUAUUCAAAUCACAACCCACCCACUCUCACUCUCAGAUACUCAAAUAAUCCACCACGGUCACAUUCCAUCGAGUUCCCAAAAUAACCUUUUCGAUUUUGGUCCCCACAAGUCACAAUAUCUCAGUUUCCCAGCAUCUCCAUUGCAAUAUAUGAUGAAGCUUUCAGCCAAAGACGAGACUGAGAGAGCUCACAUGGUGAACGACAUGUCGUUUCUUACAACUUCCUUGUCAAGUUCUUCGUGGUUAAGGACGUGUUUUUAAAAGUUUUCGUGCCUUUGGCGAAGAUCAAGUGUAAUGUCUUUUCGUCACUAGCCUAAUUUUAGGUGUGUUGGCGAACUUGGUUACCCUACGAGACCAUUGGAACUUUACGUAGGAUGAAUGUCUGUCGAUUCUUAAUCCGGUUUAUGAGUUGUUCAAAGAUUAAUCACAAGUUGAAAACAUUAAUACAAAGGUAACGGAGUACAUUGCUUGAGAAACAAUGAGUGAUUGGUAAAAAGCCCACAGGCUACGUACAUUAUUCAUGGCUACAACUGAAAAUUUGAUUAAUUGGAAUUCACAGCCCAACAUUUCUUCCUGAUCUGGCCGGAAGUGCCUGUAAGGACCUCAACGGCUCCCAUCCUUUUCAUUGACUGUGCAAACUCCGUGAAGAACUUGUUAAGGUCCUCCAAUUCUGCGACGAUAUUGCUGGCACCCUUGUUUGUUAAAAGGGCUGCAUCAGAUUGGAAGAGACCCUUGUGCUGCUUGACGACGGUGUAGUAGCUGCUGUCAAAGUUUCGAGCGCUACCGGGAUCCAUUUCCACGAAUGUUGUAUUGUCUUUGAGGCUUCGGCAUUUGGUCUUCAGCAAUUCAGCGUAGGUUGCAUCCAAAGAAGGGUCUUGAUCACCCUUUCCGGUGAAGUUGUAGAGCCUGUUGCUGAAGCUUGGGCAGCCGCCUACUCCAAUUGUG